GGAGGGAUGGCCGAGCGGUUUAAGGCGGUGGUCUUGAAAACCUCUGUAGGGGCAACCCUACCGUGGGUUCGAAUCCCACUCCCUCCG
Molecule: transfer RNA, 87 nt
Filed under: Chloroflexota bacterium
Lineage: Bacteria; Bacillati; Chloroflexota
Description: tRNA-Ser
Rfam family: tRNA
About the family: Transfer RNA (tRNA) molecules are approximately 80 nucleotides in length. Their secondary structure includes four short double-helical elements and three loops (D, anti-codon, and T loops).
Source: RNAcentral